Molecule: non-coding RNA, 24 nt
Filed under: Arabidopsis thaliana (thale cress)
Lineage: Eukaryota; Viridiplantae; Streptophyta; Magnoliopsida; Brassicales; Brassicaceae
Source: RNAcentral
UCGUAUGGUUGAUUCUAGCGACGU